UACGUAGGGGGCCAGCGUUGUCCGGAAUCAUUGGGCGUAAAGCGCGCGUAGGCGGCCAGAUAAGUCCGGUGUGAAAGUCAAAGGCUCAACCUUUGAAUGCCGCUGGAAACUGCCUGGCUUGAGUCCGGAAGGGGCGAGUGGAAUUCCUGGUGUAGCGGUGAAAUGCGCAGAUAUCAGGAGGAACACCAAUGGCGAAGGCGGCUCGCUGGAACGGUACUGACGCUGAGGCGCGAAAGCGUGGGGAGCGAACAGG
RNAcentral lists this ribosomal RNA (253 nucleotides) under uncultured bacterium. Its description in RNAcentral is "partial 16S ribosomal RNA". It matches the Rfam family "Bacterial small subunit ribosomal RNA", at positions 524 to 776 of the family's 1533-position model. The record is from RNAcentral.